GAUGAACGCUAGCGGGAGGCCUAACACAUGCAAGUCGAACGGGAUUGGUAGCAAUACCAUGAGAGUGGCGCACGGGUGAGUAACGCGUAUGCAACCUACCUAUAACAGAGGGAUAGCCCAUAGAAAUGUGGAUUAAUACCUCAUAGUUCUAUUAGAUCGCAUGAUUUGAUAGAUAAAACUCCGGUGGUUAUAGAUGGGCAUGCGUGACAUUAGCUAGUUGGUGAGGUAACGGCUCACCAAGGCAACGAUGUCUAGGGGUUCUGAGAGGAUGAUCCCCCACACUGGUACUGAGACACGGACCAGACUCCUACGGGAGGCAGCAGUGAGGAAUAUUGGUCAAUGGGCGCAAGCCUGAACCAGCCAUCCCGCGUGCAGGAUGAAGGCCCUAUGGGUCGUAAACUGCUUUUAUACACCAAGAAAAACUCCGAUGCGUUGGAGCUUGACGGUAGUGUAU
This 454-nucleotide ribosomal RNA is filed under the name uncultured bacterium. Its description in RNAcentral is "bacterial SSU rRNA". It matches the Rfam family "Bacterial small subunit ribosomal RNA", at positions 28 to 483 of the family's 1533-position model. The record is from RNAcentral.